RNAcentral lists this long non-coding RNA (1201 nucleotides) under Triticum aestivum (bread wheat). RNAcentral describes it as "long non-coding RNA (TAES_LNC009940)". The record is from RNAcentral. Lineage: Eukaryota; Viridiplantae; Streptophyta; Magnoliopsida; Poales; Poaceae.
AAUUUUAUAGUUUCAUAUUUCACUUGCAACUAUAUUUCCUAAAUAUCAGUUUCACAAUCAGGAGUAAGCAGCUUCACGAACAUAACCAAUUUCACACAUUGGAACAAUCUAUUUCAUAAAAUUGGUUUCAUUGAAUUCAAAAGACCUAUUUCAGUUAAUUGAAAUAACUCAUUUCAUAAAACUAAUUUCACUCAUUACAAAAUAUAUCUCAAAAACUAAUUCCACUUUGUAUUUAUGAAAUAUAUUCAAAUGUAUUUCAAUCAACUCAAAAGUUAGUUUCAAACGUUUGAAAAAAAAUUAACUUGAAAUAAGUGACAUUUAAAUGAAAUAAAAAAAAAUUCACUCGCUUCAUAAAAUACAUUUCGCUCAUUUAUAAAAAAAAUGAAAUAAUCGCAUGUUUUAAAAUAACUAGUUUCACAUUUUUCUAAAUUACAAGUUAAACAUAUUUCACAAUGAAAUUUGUUUCAUAUGCAUAUUUCACUCAUCUUUUUUAGUUGAUUUAAAAUAACAAUUCACUCAUUUAAAAAAUAUGAAUUCACUCAUUUGAAAAGACAUAUUUCACACAUCAAAUAAACAUAUUUCAUCCGUUUUAAAAACAAGAUUCCAUUCAUUUCAAAAACUGACUCACUCAUUUUAUAUUACAGAUUUUCACUGCUUUAAAAUAAUGCAUGCAUAUUUAAAUUCUAUAGUUUCAUAUUUCACUUGCAAUUAUAUUUCCUAAAUAUCAGUUUCACAAUCAGGAGUAAGCAGCUUCACGAACAUAAUCAAUUUCACACAUUGGAACAAUCUAUUUCUUAAAAUUGGUUUCAUUCAAUUCAGAAGACCUAUUUCAGUUAAUUGAAAUAACUCAUUUUGUAAAACUGAUUUCACUCAUUACAAAAUAUAUCUCAAAAACUAAUUCCACUUUGUAUUUAUGAAAUAUAUUCAAAUGUAUUUCAAUCAACUCAAAAGUUAGUUUCAAACGUUUGAAAUAUAAAUUUUAACUUGAAAUAAGUGACAUUUAAAUGAAAUGAAAAACAAUUUCACUCGCUUCAUAAAAUAGAUCGCUCAUUUAUAAAAAAUUGAAAUAAUCGCAUGUUUUAAAAUAACUAGUUUCACAUUUUUCUAAAUUACAAGUUAAACAUAUUUCACAAUGAAGUUUGUUUCAUAUGCAUAUUUCACUCAUCUUUUUUAGUUGAUUCAAAAUAACAAUUCACUCAUU